This 37490-nucleotide long non-coding RNA is filed under the name Nicotiana benthamiana. RNAcentral describes it as "long non-coding RNA (NBEN_LNC027452)". Lineage: Eukaryota; Viridiplantae; Streptophyta; Magnoliopsida; Solanales; Solanaceae. The record is from RNAcentral.
UGACACGGUUCUCUUCAAAGGUAGAGUUUGUAAGAACCAGGUGACUCUUCCCGAUGAUAGAUGACAUGACAACAAAUUUAAGGGUUUGAGAUUGUUUUUCUACUUGUUUUGAGUAAGUAGUAAUUAGUGAGAAUUGGUGCCUCAGGAAAAUCUUCUCUUGGUCCUAACACAAUUACCUUUGACCUUAUGGUUAAAAACAAAUUUGUGUGUAUAGGAUGAUGAUAGUUAUGACUUUGAGACUCUAGUGUUGACUAAAAAAUCAUCGAGUGGUUCCUCAGAACCAUUUUUGUUGCUCAAAUCUUAGCUAAGGUUGUUGUGGGAACCCUAAUAUAUUUCUUUAGCAACCCUAUAGUUUGUGUGGUGAGAUAUUGAUUUGAAAGUCCAAGUCCCAUGCCAAGGAGUCUAGAACUUGCCGUGAAUGUUUGUCUAGGCAAAAUCCUAAGUGAAGCUCGACUUGAGAAAUGAUUAUAGGCUCUCCUUGAUCCUAAUUGAGACUUGAUAACAUCCAUAACCUACUAAUGAUUAUAUCCCUAGUCAACCUCAUUGAGCCAUAGCCCUUAUUCUUUAAAUAACCAUGAUACAAGCCUUUAUCCAUUCUAAAAUGAUCCUCUCUUGGCACCCUAUCUUUCUUAGCACAAGGCAAAAGCAUAAGUUUAGGGGGAGAGACAGGGAAUGAAAAAGUGAUAAAAGGUACAAAAUAAAAAAAAGGAAAGUGAAAAAGAAAAUAAAGAAAAUCCAAAAAUUAAAAAAGAAAGUGAACAAUGUAGAAGAAAUUAAGGGUGUCAAUAAAGGCAAAAGAUGAAAGGCAUAGAAAGAUUGGAAAGGGGAAAGGGAUUGAAAUGAACAAGAAAGAGUGACAAUGAGUCUGUCUAGCCCCUAAAGAAGAAGUAAGUGACUUAAAUAGUCAAGAAAAUAUGUGCCAAAAUGAAGCAAAUGAAUUUCUUAAGGGAAGGUGAAACCUUCUUAGACCAAUAUAUCCUACCCUGAACCAUAAGCCUUCAUUACAUCACCAUAAAAGCCCUAUAUGAUCUUGAGUUAGGUAAUCUUACAUUAGUGGUGACUAACAUAAGGGACAAGCUUAUGGUACUUAGAGCCGAACUUGUGACCUUCCUUUGAAAGAGAUAAGUGUGUUUUCCAUAAUCCUCGUUCUAAGUGUGACAGUCUAUUAGUGAGGUUUGCUUAUUGAGAGUUGAGGAGUAUGAUUUUGGGUUCCACAAUGACAGAUGUAACAGAAAGAGUUUCCUUGAUGAGUUGAGUCAACUAUUGAUGCUUUUGUGUCGCACUAUAAUUAUGGUGCUAAAAGUCUGUGUAUUGUUCAUAAUGCAUUUGAGUUGAGGUUAAUUGUUAGUCCCUAUUGAUUCUUAAUGAGGUUAUUUUAGGACAGCUGAAUUUUCCUUUCUUUUAUCUUAAGGAGGUCGGAAUUACUUUAUUUUCUUGAAGACAAGCAAAAGAUUAAGUUUGGGGGAGUUGAUAACUAGGGAUUCUAGUCUAUUUUAUGCUCUUUUUUUGCUUAAGUUAUAGAUUUAAAGUGUGUAAAGUAUUCCCCAAAGCUAACUUAUUGUGCUUGUUUGCAGUAUUUGGUGAAAAAGAGACAAGAAAGUCAAAAUCAGCUCAAAAAGGAGUAAAACUUCCACAAGUCAAAAGCUGCGUCAACCAAGAGCUACAGUGGAAAAUAAACCGUAGAAACGGAGGAUCUACCGUGGAGGCAGUCUUGAUCUCGCGGUCCAUGGUGAAAAAGAUUCAGGGAGCGGCAAUUUGGGGAUUUACCAGUCACCGCUCACCACAGUGGACUCAACACGGUCGCGGUGCAUUUACCGCCUUCAGCGGAGGAGAGAUUCAGAGAGUCUGAAGUUGAGCUGAAAGUUGAAGACCGUGGUCCGCGCUUGAUUCUAUGCAGCCGCAGUAGCCUCUCCACUGCAGCAGUCCAUUUUCCACUGUCAGUGGUACCUCCGUAGAGCAUUAUUUUUUGAAAAAUUUAGUUGUGUAUAAAUACUUAUUUUUCAGAUUUUUAGGUCAUCUUUUGUUUAGCUAAGCAUGUGAAACCGCCAUUUUUAAUUUUUUGAGUAGUUUUAGAGUUUGUUUAACAAUUAAUCAUAGACUUUUAUCUUGUAAUUAAUUUUUAUGGCUUCUACUUCAUCUCAAUCUUUGAUUUCUUCAGUUAAUAUGAGUAGCUAAACCCAUUAGCUAGGGUUGUGGCUCAACCUUAGUGUGAGUAUUUAAUGAGUCUCUCAUUUUAGGACUUAAAUAUUUAUGGGUGAUUGAUAUUUGAUCUAAUUUAUGCUUCAAAUGUUAAAUUGGUAGUUGCAAACAUUGAUUUGUGCCUUUUUUACUCAGGCUCUUCUUUGGAAAGAGAGACUAAGUCUAGGAAUUCCAGGCCAACAAGGUAUUGGGGUGUAUUCAAGAGAUUGAUAGUCUCAAUUAAAGGGUUAAACCUAAAGAUAGUAAUACUCGACUUGAGCUAACUUUGAUCGUACAAAUUGAACACCCAAUUGGGUUUGAGAAAGCCAAUUAUGGCAAAAUCUCUCAAACUACCGAGAGAUGUAGAGUGAGUUGCUACGUGCAUUGGAUAUCACGAUCCCAUCUAUAACAAUAUUGCUCUAAGUUUUAGAUCCCGUUAGGUACCCACCUAGGUGAAAGUCGCUCCCCUAGUGCCUUUUUACCAAUUUAGAAAAUCCUACAAAAAUAUCUACUUAGCUUAAUUACGUGCAUCAUUAGUAUAAAAUUAGAAUAAGAAAACAAGCAAAAGAAUGAUUGAAAAUUCAAUCAAGAGCAUUGCACAUUGCUAGAUUAGAUAGGAAUCGAACUCCAAACAUAUCUUAGCUCCCUGUGGAUUCGAUUCUGACCUUUUUGGGUAAAAGUUGCAUCGACCGCUCUUGUUACUCUAUAGUGGUGUAGGGUUGGAGCCGAUCACCUGCCCAUCGAUUAUAGCUCGAUGGUGGUGAAAAUAUAGUAAUACUGUAUAUAUAGACUCUCUGAUCUCUUGGCUGAAAGAAAAAAAACUAAACUGAAUAUUAAUUCCCUAUAAGGAAGAAUACUGCAGCUUAUGAUACUAGGAUAAUGUACAUAAUUUCAAGAAUAAGAAUUUUUCCUUAUGCCUCGUUAUCAAAAGCAUGUAGUUACAAGAUAUGCCAAAAUGAACGAAAGAUUUAGCUUUAAUAUACCUUAUUAAAAUCUUUCCAAUUACCAAUUUGAACUUCUCUUUGCAUCUUAAUCUGCAACAAUGAUCAUAAUAUUAUCAUUAAGUUGUGAAAGGUAAAACCAUCGCACAACUAAUGACAAGCUUAUUUUGUAUUAAAAUGGGCAACAUCUCCCACAUAAUCCUUACUCUCCAAAUUCAAGAUGACACCAAAAAUACAAGAAAACAAAAAUAACAACAUUUAUACAUUAUUUUCCAACCUUAUAUAUACCAUAAAAUACUACAAAACAACCCAAUGCACCUCAAUCUCUUCAUACACAAAACGACCACUGCAGUAGUGUCAAACGACUCAAAAAUGUUACGACGAAUGAGAAUCCCACCACCCUGAAUUUAUGUGGUGUUUAACCACACCCUUAAUACUCCAGAACACCAUAAAAUAGUAGUAAAGCACGCAAUCCAACAGCAAUACAAAAUAGUCCACAAAAUAGUCUGCUACAAGUGAAUAUCUCAAACUCAAAGCUUCGGAUCACCGUCCCGUAAGUUAUUACAAUUAUUGAAUGAAUUUUCACACAUAUUAGUAGAAAAAAUAGAUGAAAUAGAGUAGUAAAUUUACCUUAUUUUUCGAAUAACUCAGCAGCUAUAUUGGUUCUUCAAACUCAAGGUUUUCCUCUCACUAGAACUUGAAAAGUAGAGAAAUUCAAUUAGGGUUUGUGUUCAACUUUUGGGAGGAUGUUUGUAGGGGUUUUGGUCUGGUUAUUGUGCACUAUUAUCAGUGUAUUAUAUGAAUACAAUAGGACUUAAUAAGGUCUCUUUUUACGACCCGAGUUGGCCCAUUUUUUAACUCUCAUUUAAGCAAGUAGGUGACACACCUAAUUGUCACCUAGCAGUCUGUGAAGUCUUGCAAAAAUGCAUAUAUUUCUCUACUCGAUCUCGUAUUGACAAACAGUUUAAUGCGUUAGAGAAUAUACUCAUAGGUCUUCAAUUUUAUGGGUGUAAAACCCCAUAAAUCUAAGUAUAUUUGGAGAUAACCACAAUUACAUUUGACCCAAAUUUCAGUAAAACCUAUGAACAUAACUUGGGAUGACUUUCAUCGACUUUUGUUCCACAACUCGCCUGAGUUCAAAAAAUAACACAUGACUAUCAUACAAAUAAGAUAACUCAAAAAAUAACCUCCUUAUUAUUUUAAGCACCCAAGUAUCAUCCAAAAAAUACAUGUUGUAACAUUACCAACUUGUUAACUUUCAACGAAAUAUUAUUUUUUUCAAUUCCUUAGCUUCUAAACCAUCCAAAUCUCUUUGUACUUGUUGUUCAUGAUCUUCAAUAUAUGUAACAUCUGAGGUAACAUGAUAACUUAUUUUAUAUAUUUCCAAGAUGAUCUCCUUGUGGGUCUUACAUUAGUUUCCUUACGACGCACUUUCACAUACAAAAAUAUGGGGGUGUAAUAUUCACCUACAGUGUGACGACCCGAUUGGUCAUUUUGACACUAGCACUUCAUUCGGUAGUUUGAGGCCUUGAAUAGCUUCACUUCAUAUUUUAUGACUUGUACGCAUAGUAGGAAUCGAAUUUCGAAAAGUUUGGAGUUGGUUCAUAUGGAAAAUUCUCAAUUGGAAGCUUUAAGUUGGAAGAGUUGACCAAGGUGCUACUUUUGCGUAAAUGAUUUCAGAAUAGGGAUUUGAAGGUUUCAACAGGUUCGUAUGAUUAUUUCGAACUUGUGCGUAUGUUUGGGUUGAGUAUCGAGUGGUCCGGGAGCAUUUCGGCGCCUAUUAUGGAAAAUUGGCAUUUUGAAGGUUUUACAAAUUUUUGAGUUUGGUUUGAAGUGGAUUUUAGUGUUAUCGAUGUAGAUUUGGGCUUCUGAGUCUUUUAUUAGUUCGUAUUGUGAUUUUAGACUUGCACGUAAAGUUUGGCAUCAUUCCGGAAAGUUUAAGUAUGAAUCGGACGUGUUCGUCAAAGUUUGAAUGUUUGAAAGUUUAAGGAAUGAAUUUUUAUCGUCAAUUCAUAGUUUGGGUAUUGUUUCAUGUGAUUUGAGUCCUCGAAAAAUUUUGCAUCAUAUUUUGGGAAUAGUUUGUAUGAUAGGUCGGGGUCCCGAAGGCCUCGGAUGUGUUUCGGGGUGGUUCCAGACCAAGUUUGGCUGAACUGUUGUUGCUGGUGCUGGUUUUGUUCUUUGAAAACAUGAAGGGCCUCCCGCAUUCACGGAGAAGGAAUUGAGCUAUGGACCUUCUAGUUUUACACGUUUGCGAUAAGGAAGUCGUGUUUGGUAUGGGUUGGAAAAUUGUGCUCCGUGUUUAUGAAGGCCUGGUCGCGUUCGCGUAAGAGGAGCUGGCCUGGCAGAAGAGAUUGGUCUUGGCGUUCACAAAAGAGUAGCCGUGUACGCUAUGGCCAUGCUGGUAAAGCUUCGCAUUCAUGGGACCUAUCUUACAUUCGCGUAGAGGAACUGGAAUGCAGAAGCUGGUUGUUCAUCGCGAACGCGUGGGACUUGUCGCGUUCGUGAACAAGGUCGGACUGGACAGUGUGGUUUUAAAAAUGGGGGUUUGACUCAUUUUCACGUUAUUUCUUCUGUGUGAUUCAGCGUUGGAGCGAUUUUGGAGCACCAUUUUCAUCGUCAAUCAUGAGGUAAGUAAUUCUAUAAGUUGUGAGUUAAAUAUACGAAUUCGGGCUUAUAAAUACAUGGGAAAUUAUGGAGAAUUUUGGAUUUUGAGAGAAAAACCUAGAAAUUAUAUUUUUAGAUUUUUACUAUAAAACUAGACGUGGAAUUUGGAAUAAAUCAUAUAUUUGAGUUUGUAACAUUAUGGGUAGAGUUUAUCUUCGAACUUUUUGGGAAUUCGGGCACGUCAGCCCAAGAGUUGACUAUAUUGCACUUUCGUGCGGAGUUGAAAAUUGUUAUAAAUUGAUUAACUAUGGGUAUUAGAGUAUAUUUUUAUUGGUUUUCAUGAUUGUUUGACUAGUUCAAAUCGAUGGGCAUUAGUUCGAGGUGUUAGAGAGGCAUUGGAGCCGGUUAUGAAACAUCAGAGCGAGGUAAGUCUCAUGUCUAACCUUGCGAGGGGGAAUUUACCUCAUAGGUAUUAUAUUCUUAUGUGUUACAUGUAGUGGGAGCUACACACAUAUUAAGUGAUGAGUGUCCGUACGUAUGCUAGAAUUCCUGAUUAUGUCCUGAUAGACUAGGUUCACGCCAUGUUUUAAUUGUAUUAUGCGUUAUUAUUGCCUGUAAAAUUCCUUUAUUCGGGAUUACGCCUUGAGACUAGGCUUGCGUUGAGUGAUAUACUCAGUAUUCGUGAGUGGGGUCAAAAACUUGUUAAAGCCUCUUAUUUUAAUGAGAUCGGGUUGUUCGCCUGGGCAGGAUAUUGUAACACACUCUUAUGGGAUCGGGUCGUUCGCUCGGCAGUAUCAUAUUCAUAUGGGAUCGGAUCGUUCGCCUCGGCAGUAUCAUAUUCUUAUUGGAUCGGGCUGUUUUCCUCGGUAAUGUCAUAUCAUAUUGGAUCGGGUCGUUCGCCUCAGUAGUACCACACUCUUAUGGGAUCAGGUUGUUCGCCUCAGCAAUACCACACCCUUAUGGGAAUUGGCCGUUCGCCUCGGCAGCACCACUCUCUUAUGGGAUCGGAUCAUUCGCCUUGGCAUUUCUGUAAAUACUCUUAUGGGAUCGGAUCGUUCGUCUCGGCAACUUCAUGAAACACUCUUAUAGGAUCAAGUCAUUCUCCUAGGCAGUGUCGUGCGUAAUAUUUGACAAUGAGUCAUCUUAUCUGUGAGUUUUUCUGAUUUGAGUUAUGACGACCUAUCUGGUGGGAACCAUUUUACAUAUAUACUCAGGUUGAGGAGGUAACCAAUAGUUAAGGGCUUGUGUUUACUAUUCAGAGGAAGAUUGUGCCACGUAUUUAUAUUUGUUUGUUCUAUUAAUUUACUCUGCCUCGUAUUUGUUUACUUCUUAUUGUAUAUGAUUUAUUAGACUACUAGUAAGUGUCAAUGUCGACCCUUGGUUACUACUUCUCCUUGGUUAGGUUAGAUACAUACGAGGUACACAUUGAUUUACGUACUCAUGUUACACUUCUGCACUUAUUAUGCAGGUAUAUAUUUUUGGUGGUCUUUCGGGCAUGAAGGCAUAGCUAUUGCGGGGACUUAAGAUGAGCUUCAUCCCAUACUAUGAACCGCGGCAUACAGAGCCUCCAUCUGAAUCAUUUAUAUUUUUUUGUCUAAUUUGUAUUUUAGACAGAUGUUGUAUUAUUAUUGUACUUCUUAGUAAAUUCUCAUGCACUUGUAACACCUGGUUUCGAGAUAUGAUAGUUGAUACUUACGGAUUUGUAUAUUAUUAUCACCUUUCACGUCUUUUAUAAGCUGUUACUUGUGUAUGUACCUGUAAAUUUAAAAGUGUAAAUUUCUAUCAUUAAUAAAAUUUAUAAUUUAAAGAGUAAUAAAACGAAAAAAUAGAUGUAAUAAUCACCGUUAAUUUGCCUAACGACGAUGUUAGGCGUCAUUAUGACUUGUAGCGGUUUUUAGGUUAUGACAUACAGUACCCAGAAGUUGCUUGUAAAACCUUACAAACACUUUCGCAUUUUCCUCAGAGUCAUGGUAUAUUCUUUGUUGAUCAUCCUGCAUCUGAGUUAUUGCUUGCAUUAGUUUCCUCUAUUUUUUAAUAGAGAAGAAAUAUUGUGUAUUAUUAUCUCCAGGGGCGGAUUUAGGGGACGCACGAGUGUUCACUCGAACACUUUUCGCCAAAGAAUUAUAUUGUAUAUAUAAGGCGAAAUCUGUUUUUAUAUCUCUAUAUAUUAAGUUUUGAAUACCCUUAGCACAAUGCAAAAGUGUAGUUUAGUGGUCAAGGGGGUUCAAAAUCUACAUAAGGUCAUGGGUUCAAUUCCCACUAGCUACAAAAGAACAAAAAUUGAAUUGCCUUCGUGGAAAUUCUGCCUCCGCUACUGAUCAAUCUCCAAGCUUGAUCCAAUUUGCUUUACUCUGUUGCAAUAAAAACAUCUCAUCAAGCUUGAUCAUCUCUCUGCAUCUUGCAAAUCUUCAUUCAAGGUGUCUAGAUGGAGUUUAGUCUGAGCAUUAAGCAUGGCUACUCUAUCAUGUUUUGCCUCUAUAAGCAGACUCCUAAAAUUUUAUUUAUGUAGUUGUUUAUGUUUACUCUUUAGCAUCUCUAUUUUGCUGACCACUUGAUAUAUGUAAUGGCCUUCAACUUGAUUAUCCCAUACCUCUUUGACUAUAUCUUGAAAUAGUGGAUGUUUUCUCCAAAUAUUACAAUACUUGAACGCCCUCUUGGUAAUAUGUUGAAGUUGCAUAGGCAGAUUUUGAGCGAAUAAUGAUCAUUCACUUCUUCUGGUAAAAAAGUAAAACUACACAUUGAAAUUAAAUAUCCACUCACCAUUUACAAACACCCGGUCUAUCUUUGAGAACAUGCUAUCAGUCCCCUGCUAAUCAUUCCAAAUGUAUGGCCUUCCUGCACUAGGCAAUUCUACCAAGCUACAAGUUUCCAGGCAAUUUUGAAAAUCUUUCACUUCUGCAAAUGUAACUGAAUUUCUUCCUAAUCUAUUAAUCCCUCUGUUGUGAACUUAUUUUUUUUGUUGGUCUGUUCCAAAAAGAAUGACCCAUUUCUAAAUUUGGUAAUAAUUUAGUUUAAACUUACAAUUCUGCCCUUAAUGAGAAGCUUUUAUAAUCACACAAAGGCUCUAGGUCCUUUUUUGACUUGUUUAGAAUCAUAAAUUCCAACAGUCUUCAUUUUUUCUUAAGCUUCGUACCCAGUCAAACAAGUUAACAUAAAUUGGAACGGGAGUAUCUGUUUUCAGUACAUCAUUGAAAUUGCCCAUAAUAAUCCAUGGUAAUGUGCAUCUCUAUCCCACAUUGUUCAGUUGUUCCCAUAAUUCCUUCAUGUCUUCCCUCUGGUUGUAAGCAUAGACAAAUGACAUGAGACAUGUCAAUUGCCUUGGUACAUACAACGCUUGGCAUGUAAUUGCUUGUGCAGAACCAUAGAGGUAUUUCACCUCAUAUAAAUCUGGUCUUCAUGUGAACCAUAUCCUACAAUUAUAAUGGAAUUCAUGAUUUGUAACAUACCUCUACCCGACAAAUAUUCUUCCUGCAACUUAACUUAUAUUGUUCACUUUUAUUUUUGUUUCAAGUAGACUAAUCAAACCUACAUCAUACUGAUUGCAGAUGAGUUUGACCUCAUUUUGCUUAUUGAGGCCAUUAAGGCCUCUCACAUUCCAACUUAUCAUGUUAACCAUGUUGUAUACUACCUCCACCUUUUCCUGGUUCAUAAUUCUGCUUGCUCAUACUCUUCGAUAUUUGUAACUUGCAUAAGUGUCUUCUUUUGUAGUUCAUCUUUGGAUAUUUUCAUUUCAGGUGUCCACGCCUUGAAAAUAAAUGAUUUAUUAUCGAAGUGGUAGAUACCUCCUCGUACUAUAACCUUAUUUCUCCCUUCCCCAUUGUCAAAUCGGACCAGGAUUAUCCCAUUCUUCAGCAUCGUUAUUUUGUUGAUUCCUAGUUUACCCCCCACAAUCUCUGAAUAAAUUCAUUGAGCACUGCAAAUGUUGUCGAGCCCCCAAUACGUAACACACAACUGCAGUAUUCCAAUUUGAAACCAGCAUUAGUUAUCUUCAUGAUCAAAAUUUUCCCAAAUUGAGGCCUUAACACUCGUAGUCUCUGUUUCACUAAUUUUAUUGUUCUUACUCGUCUCAAUUUCACUCUGUUCAACUUCAUCAGCCAAGGAGAUUUUGCACCCACUGUUGUUAGCAUGCAUCACCUUUAGCCAUUCGCCCAAAUUUGCUUUUGUUAUUUCCACCUGGCCUUUGGUGUGCUAGGUCGUUGCCCGUCCCGCACUCGUGAAUUCACUCUCGAAAUUGCCCGAUUUCCUUCGCUAAUCGCUGUAGGUGGUGCGCUUACUUUCAUUGUUUGCUUUACCGCCUUUCCCACAAAAAUCUGAGCCGGUACCACCGCGGCGGCGGACCUACCUCUUGUACGAAGGGAGUUUAAUUGAACCCGCUUCAAAGAAAAAUUUAUUACUCUUACUUGUGAAGUUUAGCAAAAAAAAAAACAUAAAAGGAAUAAAUAUUAAGACUUGAACCCAUUUGACACAUAUUGAAGUUGCAGAGCAACAGUCAAGCGGGUUCAAAGUAACUCUAAGGUUGUCUGUUCGAACCCCUGCUAAAAUGCUUAAUUGAAACAUACAUCUUCAAGACACAUUUGAAUUCAUUGUCCACUUCAUCUUUUUUUUUUUAAGUUAAAACUAGAUGCAUAUUAUAAUUUAAAAAACUACCCGUUAGGGUUUAUAGAUGGAAUGUUUAUGGGUGGAUAUAUCAAAUCCCCCACUAUUAGGCUAUCGUUUGUACUAUUACAGACCAUAAUUUAUCUUUCAAACACAGUUCCUGCAAUGUCUGCCCAAAACACAUGCUUCACGGACACCGAAAGAACUGUUGUUCCAAAAAUAUCUUCAAAAAAAAUUCCUGUUAGUACAAUCAUUUGCCAGUAUAUCAGCAACUCGGUUGGUCUCCCUGUAGCUGUGCUCCACCACCACGGUGCCUAGUCUUUGAACGAUUGACCUGCAUUCAUGAAUAAGGAGUCAAAAAGAUUUCCAUUGAUUAGCAUUCUAAUUACCUCUAUUGAGUUAGUGUUUAUUUCCAAAGGCGUUAACUCCUUUCUUCUGCAAGCUGCAGUUCUUUCAGAAUUGCUAGCAAUUCUUCCUGGGUGUUAGUGGUGUAUUGGAUGGAAACCAUAUAGUAGAGUAAAAAAUUUUCACUUGCAUUUCUGAAGACUCCUCCCAGCCCUCCUCUCCAGGAUUUCUUGCUGCUACUCUAUCAGUAUUGAGCUUGUAGUUGUUGUUUGUUGGUGGCUUCCAUUUUACCCAGAUAUUUUUUUUGGUUUUGGGUUCUUUAUCCAACAUGAUUGUAACAUAUUCAGUAGCCAUAGCUAUAGCACUUUUUGAAUUGGCUAUUUCUUUUUUGUUAUUGAAGAGAUUAUUGUUCUUUGUGAGCCAUAUUUGCCAGAAGCAGAAAGGGAAAUGCUCUUCCCAAGUAAUGAUGUUGUUAUAAUGCUCUUUCUUAAGUGAUGCCCAGGUGGUUGGCCAAUGCCUACUAGGCAAAGAUGGUAUAGGAGCAUUAUUAUUAUUUUUUCCUUAUGGUAUAGGAGCAUUAUUAUUUUUUGUACUUUGUGAGAUGAUAUCUUGCCAUAAAAGAUUGGAGUUAGUGCAUUCCAAGAAAAUGUGCGAUGAUGUCUCAUUUUCCUGAUUGCACAGGUGGAACAUGGGGUCUAUUUGUAUCUCAACAUAGUGGAGAAAAGCUCAAGUGGGGAGCCUGUCAUGAAAUAGUAGCCAGAAAAAGGAUUGAAUCUUUUUGGGAACUUUCGGCUUCCAGAUCCACGAGAAAUUGUAGGUCAUGAAUUCAUGUUUUUGGUGUUGACAAGAAUCCAGGAGUGAGUAGGCAGAUUUUGUAGAAUAGAUUCCAUUUGAUGUGGCUCCCCAUAUUAUUCUACCUUCCUUAAUUGUGUUGGAUGGAAUGAAGAUUAUAGAUGAAAUUUUGGAUGGGGUAUGGUGAGAGAGAGCGUUGAGAGAUCCCAAGUUCUAUUAUGAUGAGCAGAGGGAACAGUUUUGGUCAUGUCUUCUCUUGUCAGGGGACCUUCUAUGAAGGACUUUAUAGCUGGGAGGUUGUUUAUCUAAGGAUCCUUGAAAAAACUGACUCUGUUUCCUGAAUGCACUACUCCUCAUUUUGCUUUCAUGCAUGUUUCUCAUCCUUUUAGGAUGCAUUGCCAGGUGUGAGACUUAGGUGUUUUUUAUGGAGGGAUCCUCCAAUUACAGUGUUUUGAAAUCAGAGUUUUUACCCAUAGGGUUGAGAGAUUUUGGUAUUGCCUCCAAGCAAGAUCUGAGUGGAAGGAUUUGUUUUUCAAUUCAGUUUUCUGGAUCCCCAGUCCCCCCCUUAUCCUUAGGCAUAGUGACUGUAUCACAUGAGACCAGGUGCAUCUUUCGUUUAGUGCCAGUAGUGCCCCAGAUGAAAUUCCUCUAAACUUUAUCAAUCUCUUUGGUUGUUUUUGCUGGCAAUUUGAUGUAUUGCAUUACAUGAUUUGGGAUUGAGUUUAGAGAUGGUUUUUCCAAUGUGGUUCUCCCAGUCAUGUUUAGCACGCUUGUUUUUUAUCCAGUCAUUUAAGAGUGGAGAUUGUUAAUGAUGAACUGGAAAUCACUAUGAGUGGGUCUUUUGUGGGAGAUUAGGAACCCUAGGUAUUUUCCAAAGUUUGCUAAAGCUUUUAUGAAAAGGAUGUUUGAGAUAAGCUCCAUUCGGUGAGGUUGGCAGUUUGCAUUGAAACACACAUUAGACUUUGUAAGGUUGAUCUUUUGCCCAGAUGUCAAGUUGAAAGAAUUGAGAGUAUUCAUGAUUGUGUUGCAAAUGGCUUGGUUAGAGAUUGUAAAAAGAUUUAGAUCAUCAGCAAAGAAUAGGUGAGAUAUCUUAGGGCCACUUCUGCUAAUGAUGAUGGGUGCCACUCACCCUGGAGGACAUUAUGGUUAAUGUCUCUGGAAAAUCUUUCCAUACACAUGAUAAACAGGUAAGGAGAUAGGGGAUCACGCUGUCUGAUGCCCCUAGUGGGCAUGAAAGGAUUAGUUUUCUCUCCAUUAACAAUUAAAGAGAUGGUGGAGGAGAUGACACAUGACAUGAUGAGUUUAAUGAUUGUGUUUGGAAAUUUAAAAGCAUGGAGGGUUUGCUUAAUGAAAGACCACUCUAGUCUGUCAAAAGCCUUCUCCAAGUCAAUCUUUGAGAUCAUGUUAGAGGAUUUUAUUCUCAUUUUUCCAAAGUGAGAUAUGUAUUCUUGGACUAUGAUCGCAUUGUCUAAAGAUUUCCUAUUGGAGAGGAAGCUAGCCUGACUAGGCCCAAUUAUGUGAGGGAGGUAAGGCUUGAUUCUGCUAAUAAUGAUUUUCUUAAUAUCUUAUAAACAGUAUUACAUAAGUCUAUGGGCCUGAAGUUUUUGAUAUUGAGGCUUGAUGGCAUUUUGGAAUGAGGCAUAUGAGGGUUUCAUUCAUGAUUGGGUUCAUAGUUGAUGUGGAGAAAUAGUUUUUGUAGAAUUGGAUGACAUCCUUACCCACUAUGUCCCAGUAUGUUUUAUGGAAAAAAGGGUGAAGGUCAUCAGGUCCAGGAGUUUUGAAAGUCUUGAAGGAGAAUAUGGAACUUUUGAUUUCACUAUCCCCUAAGAGCCAUCCCAAUUAUCGUUUGUUAAAUCUGGGAGAGGCAAUACCCCUGGAUUUAAGUGGAGGACAAACCAUUCUGGGACUGGGGAGGUAUGAUGUAUAAAGUUCUUGGAAGAACUUUGAGAUUGAUUGCUUGAUUUCCCCAGGCUCAAACAUCCACUGGCCUAAGUCAUCUUUGAGGUAAAGGAUUUUAUUUCUCCUUCUUCUAUUUAGAGUAGAGGUGUGGAAGAAUUUUGUGUUGGCAUCUUCUUCUGAGAGCCAGUGUAUUCUAGACUUCAUUUUUCAAAAGUCCUCUUCAUUCUUCAAGAUAGAGCUAAGCUCUUCAAUGAGUUUGCUUUCAAGAGCUUGCAUUGAGGUGCUAAUGGGAUAAAGAGGGAAUUUUUGAAUCCCUGCUAUUCUUGCUAGCAACCUCAUUUUUUUGUGGAAGAUGUUUCCAAAUGUAUGUUUGUUCCACUUGAGAGCAUUAUCCUUGAACAAAAUGGUGGAAGGUAUUAGGUAGAAUCAAGCUUUAAGGAAUCCCUAAUUAUGUUUUGAAACAAAGGGUGGUUGCGCCACAUUAAUUCAAACCUAAAGGGUUUAUUGAGAGGAGUAUGACUGUUAUUGCUUAGAUUGACGAGCAUGGGGCAGUGUUCAAAAUGGAUCCUGGGAAGGUGAGUAAUGUUAGCUUCUGGGUACUCAUUUAUCCAUUGGUUAUUAGCAAGACACCUGUCAAUUCUUUCUUGGAUUAGACAUGACCUAUUUUGUACCUCUUGUUAGACCAAGUAUAUUUACUACCUUUAAAUCCUAGGUCUACAAGGUGACAAUUGUUAAUACAGUUCCAAAAGGAGUUACUCUUGUGGGUGUUUAUAGGGUUUCCUCAAAAUUUGUCUCUUGCUUUCAGGAUUUUAUUGAAAUCUCCACCCACAAACCAACUCCAUAUAUGAUUAUUAGAGAUAUCAACUAAGUUAUCCCAGAGGGCCUUUCUAUCCUCAAUAUAGUUUCUAGCAUAAAAUACAGAAAAAAAUGAGGGUUUAAGGGUAAUAUCUUGACUAUGUCAUGGAUACCCUGAGAAUUUACAGCCACUUCAUCAACUUGGAGGGAAUAAUCCCUCCGCAUAAUCACUAUACCUCUAGAGUAGACAACAGCAGGGAACUGGAUAUGCAUGUCGAAUUGAUGCUCUUUAGUUAGCUUUUUAUGGUGAACCAUUUUGGUCUCCAGGAGAACCAACAUCACAGGCUUGUGUAUUUUGACCAUGUCUGAGCAAUGACUCUUAAACUUUGCAUUGUUUGCCCCUCUAACAUUCCAUAUUAUGAAAUUCAUUAGAGGGUUCAAUGAUGGAGGGUUGUUGCUCGUUGAUGCCUUGUCACUGCCCUUAAGUUGCAUCUAUUCUUUUCCCCUGUGUUGAGAUUAUUGGGAUCUCAUCACUGGGUUAAGUUUAGGAGGGGUUUGAGUGUACCUUGACUCAAAUGAGAGGGGAAGUCCAUUCCGCAUCGAACUAGGUUCUUUGGGCAAAGCAUAAUCAAAGCCUCGAUAUGUUCCACACUGAACUCCACAGCUCUUACUGUUUCCAGCCAUAGUGAAUCCACCCUCACUAGGUUGUCGAUUGGGGUUGCUUCCUGGUCUAUUGGCACCUCGUGAUUCCUCAGUAUCUCCAGGGCUAUUGAUAUUUCUUUGGAUAUGUUCCCCAAAGGAAAUUGAUGUUGUUUCUCCUGGGGUGGUUGCUGAUAUUUCUCUUGCACUGAAGGUGAAGUUUUCUGGGAUGAUUCCGAUUGGAAGAUGUUGAACUGAGGGGUUGCAUAGGGAUCCUUUACUGAUAGAUCUGGGAAGAACAUGAUGCUAUAGAAUAUUUGUUGUAUCCUAUUGUGGACAAAUGAAUCAUUACUCUGAUGCAUGUGGGUUGGGUGUGUAUGGUCCAUGACUGUCUGCCACAUUCGUACUCCAAGCAUCCCCAAACCCCUGUUUAGGGCUUCUGCAGUUACCCUUGCCAAAUGAAUUGGAUUCUGUAUGAUUAGAGAGAUUGGUUGAUCAUCCAACUAAAAAUUGUAGCAUAAGGCUUGUCCAUGGAGUGCCAGUUCCAACCAUGACGCUGGUAGGUUGGAUGGAGGUUAGAAAGAUUGGGGGGUUGGGAUUGGGUUCCAUUUUUGGGUUUUUGUCUGCCCGUUUUUGGAUUAGUAAUAAAAUGUAGGCUAUUGGGGAAUCAAUCAUUUUUGGGGGUUGUGGAUUUGGAUCUACAGACAUGCUUAUUAUUUUGGGGUUUGUGUCUGAUACAUAUAGAAUGGGAUUAUUGUGAUAUCCGGUUUAAUUGAUGGGUUCUGUCCAAUCACUUAGGAUUUCUUGAUUAUUCAGCUUUGGAUCUUGAGCUUUCAUGGAGGGAUUUUUCCCGAUUGGUGUUGGUAGAGAAGACGUAGUGUUGUAGGAGUCAUCACUAGGGUAUACCAUGGAGUCUAUUUUUGCAGAGGUGGCCCAAUCGGGUUUUUUAGUUUUCAUCUUGCCCUUUGGGCUUAGUUGACUUUGGGUGUGGGGUAGUGUCCGUUUGGUUUGGGUUACUGAGUAUGGGGUUCGACUUUGUUUUUGUUUGUGUUGUGAGCCCCUAUCUAAAAUUAGUGUGCAUUUAUGCAUUCCCCUGGGUCUGUUUUUCUCUUAAUGCUUAUUUGGGCCUUUCUCUGCUAGGUUGCCCGGCUGUAACUUGCUUUUUAGAUUGUUGUUUCUUUGUACUAAUGGGUUGGGCCCAGUCCAUAUCCUGCAAAGGGUUAGAUUUAGAGGUAUAUCGGAAAGUUUGAGUCUCAAGGAAGUUAUCAAAUGUAGCAUCGAACAUUUUUACUUUGAUGCCCUCUAGAUUUGUUGGUGAUUUGCCCUAUUCUUGUCCGUUCCUUCAUUUUGCUGCGUGUUGCUCUCUUUUUUUUUUUUUGCGCCUUCUGGGGAAAGAGACAACUUUCCGUUCCUCUUAUUUCUCAGUAUCUAGUAUUUGUCUUGAAUCACUAUUUGACUUUAUAUUUGAGCACUCUACGUUAUCUUGUAUAUGUGUUUGCUAUAAUUUUAUCUGUGUAAGCAUCCUCUUGUAGUGUGCCAUAUCUUUCCACACCUAAUGUAUAGCACAUUUUCUCUUUCAUAGACCACUAGCUGUUUAUGGUCCCCUAUUGUAACUGAGGUAGCAACUGGUGUUUCCAAGGAUACCUGGAUACAUAUUCUUGCGUAUCUACCUCUGAGAGUGGCUGAGGUGCACUUAUCUAUUUUUAGGAGUUUGCCUACUUUUUCUAGGACCUCUUUAUCGUAGAAUUCAGUCGGUAGUUGUGGAAGACUUACCCAUAUUGCAGUGAAGGAUAGUGUCGCUUCUUGUGGAACGAAUUUGAAUUCCCAUCUUCUGACUGAAAGGAAACUUCCAGAGGCGAACCAUGGCCCUUUUGUAUAGCUUUCACUAGAUUUUCCUCUUUACCAAAUUUAACUAUGAAAAAAUUUCAUCCUAGGUCAAUCAAGAUCAAUAUUUCGGAUGGGUUCCAUAAAUCAACUAAUUUAGAUCGGAGGAGAUAGUGUGGUAUUCGUUUUCCAAAGAGUUUUAUGAUGACUGAGUAAUGCCAUGGUUAUAACCUAUUUUAUCCUCCUAAGAAAGUAGGAUUGGACCUGAUGUUUCCUUUCCUUUGUGUUGCGUUAUGGUGAAUUCUAGUUCUUAAGCAAAGUAGUCAGCUUGUGUUGUAUUUUGCUUGUUUAGGAGCAUUUUCUUGUAAGAGUGGAAUUGAGGUGUGUCUUCUUCCAUGACAGUGUCAUCCGGUGGCUCCAAUGGUAUAUUAGGUAAUUUAGGUAAAUUUUUCAUUAGUUGUGUGUAGUGAUGGAUGAGAGUUUCUCUCACUAACUGUUGGAAUAUUGGAACUCCUUUCCACUUCAACUUCUAUUAUAAUAGUAGGAGUAUAUUAUUUUGCUUAUUGUUGCUUUGUUGUUCUUUUUCUGUCCUUGUUUUUCUACUUCUUGUUAGGAUUUCUUGCUAUUCUUAUCAAACUUCAUUUUAGUUCAAAAAAGUUUAAAGCUUUCCAUAAAUUGAAUUUUAGUUCUUUUUUUCAUUGCUAAAAGAAUGGGAGUGCUUUAUUGAAAUUACAUGUAAUUGUUUAAUUUAAAUUAGUUAAUAUUAUAUUAAAAUUGUUAGUUUGUGAGAUACUCAAAAUUUUAUUUUGGCAUACCAUAUCUUUUUCAUUAAUCAUUUUUGAAUUAAUUAGUUUAGUUUAAAACUUUGUUUGCCGUAUUUUGUUUGUAACUUUGUUGUUUUAUUUCUUAAAGUUAUAAUACGAUUCUUAAGUUGGUUGAACACUUUUCUAUAUUUUAUAAUUUAUGUAGAUAAAUUUCAAACAUUUAAAUAGACUUUUUCUCUAAAAUAAUUUUUCUCGAACUUGUAAAAAAAAUUAUAUGACUUUAUUUUGAAGUCAUGUGAUGGAAAGAAAAAACAUUGUGCAAAUGGUAUUUAUUGGUGCACUUGUUAAAUUGACUAUCGUAAUUUUAAAUUAAACUUGUUUAUAUAAAAUUCUGAGUUCGUUAAUGUAUCAUCGGCUGGUCUUGCCCUCCUAACCACGGUUGGCACUCGUUUUGGCUAACGUGCGCCUAGAGAGAGAAAGAGGGCAACAUGUGAAUUGAAAAUUUGAAAUGCAUACAUGUCUUUUCAAAUUAUUACUACUGAUGUUAGCGUACUCUUUUCCUUUCUUUUUUAUAAGUAGGCAUUUGAAUAUAAAAAUUGCAAUUUUUGAAAAAAGGUAAUCCUUCUUUUCAAUUUAGGUGACGCGCUUUUUUCAAUUAGUUCAUUCUAAAAAAAUAAUAAAUUUUUAUAAUUAAAAAAUAAUUUAAUUUUAAACUUUUUAUUUUAUUUAUUUUAUUUUAAUAAGAAUCUUUUAUUAUCACACAAAUAUCAUUAUUCAUCAAAAAUUUUAUCUCUUAAACUUUUAAGACCACAAAUUUUAAAAGUUUUUUUUCUUAAAGCUUCGUGCCGGAUCAAAGUAUCUCAUCUAAAUUGAAAUCGGGGAGGGUAAUAUUUAGAAUUAGGUUGAAAAAUAAUAAUUUGGAAUUUGAAAUUAUUUUUAUGUAUUUUACCUGAAAAAUAUUGUAUUUUUUUAAGUGUGGAAAUAAAAAUUUCUAAAAAUAUUACAAAAAUGAUCAAAAUUACUUUUAAAUUUUUGAAAAAUUCAUUUUCCAAAAAUUUCAUUGUACAAAAUGUUAAAGGACAAAUACGUCUUUGAAAAAAAAUCGAAAACAAACUUCUAUGGCAAAACGUGUCCUAAAUGUUACGUAGAUUUUAUCAUUCAGGACAACCGACAAGAAAAUUGUGGAGGCUAUUCAAACAAACCGCCACUUAUAUCACCACAAAUUCAUGCAUGUGGUCACUAAGAAGCCACUACAUCAACUACCAACAAAAAAACAAAGGAAGCCACCACACUAAUUUCCAAACAACUAAUCUAACACUUUAUUUUAUAUUCACAAAUUUAAUUGGAUAUGAAAUUAUAAAAAGAAAGAAAACACGUCUGACACAACCUAAAGUACCCCUAUUAGGACACGUGGUCUUAACAUUUUCAUGACAAUUAGGGCGUGCAAUUAAACAUAAAAUGAAAAAUUAAAGUUAUGCUAUAAAAUAAAGACUUUAAAGUAAAAAAAUUAAAGGCAAGUAAAGGGUUCUAUUAUUUAACUUCAAAAUCAUGUAUAUAAUGAACUGAAAUCUUUUUAUUUAUUGAAAAAAGAAAGUUGUUGUGUAAAUUGCUACUGCAAGCUGUUACUAUAAGCUGUUGUGUAAGCUGCUACUAUAUUAGAUAUGGAUAAUCUUCUACUGAAAGCAAUGUUUAUCCACAAUGAAUACUGAACAGAUAAGUUUAUUGUACCCAAUAUAAAUAAUCUUCUACUAAGCGUAAUGAUUAUCCAUAACGGAUUAGUGAAAGGAUAAGCUUAGUGUAUCUGGUAUAGAUAAUCUUCUACUGGAGAUAAUAUUUAUCCAAAAUGGAUUAUCAAAAGGAUAAGCUUAUUAUACCUGGUAUGGAUAAUUUUCUAUCGGAUGGGGUAAUGUUUAUCCAUACCCGGGUACCGAAGUGACCGAAGUUAUAAGCUUUUUCAGGAAGCUUAUUUCCAAUAGAGUACUCAAUAGAUAAACAUAUUAACGACGGCGGUCCCAUAUGGAUAAGCUUCUUCAGGAAGCUUAUUUACGACGGAGUAUUAAAUAAACAUCCAUAAUAUAAUAUAUUUAUAACACUCCCCUUGGAUGUUAAAAGAUAAUGUGCCUCGUUAACACCUUACUAGUGAAAAUUCCGUGGGAAAAAAGAUCCUAGUGAAGAAAAAAGAGUACACAUAUAUAGUAAUACGCAUUGGUAGGUGCCUCAUUAAAAACCUUAUAAGGAAAACCUUGUGAAAAAAAAUUGCAGUAAGGAAAAAAGAGUGCAUCGCGUAUUUUACUCCCCCAGAUGAAAACUUUGUUUCAAAUAUUCGCAUUCCAAUCUUGUAUACCAUCUUCUCGAAAAAUUAAAUUUAUAGAGAAUAUUAUCCACUAUUAUUUCAAAUCGAGUUAAAUUAUCUCAUCAAACCAAGAAGCUGCUACAAGCCAUUUCAUUGAGUUGUUUGUAACCUUCCUGCAUCAACUGAUUGUAGAAAACUUCAAUGGGUUACUAAAUGUAUAGUAUUCUCCAGGAAGAUUAUCUACACCAGAGUAAAAAAUGGACAUCCACAAUAAUAUUUUCAUUACACUCCCCUUUGGAUGUUCAUUAUUAUGUGUCUCAUUAAAACCUUACUAGAAAAAACCAUGUGAAAAAAAAGUUCUAGUUAAGGAAAAAGAGUGCACUAAUAAUAUACAUUGUAACCUGCCUCAUUAAAAAUCUUACCAGGAAAAACUUAGUGGGAAAAAACCUGAGAAAGGAAAAACGAGUACAGUACAUAAUUUAUACUCCCUAAUAAAGACUUGGGUAUUUCAGGACCAAGAGUUCGUCAUUCUCUUCUAUAGGUAAUAAUUUAUCCUUAAUCCAUGUAAGAGAAGAACUGUAUCUUGCUAGUAAAUUAACAGAAAAUGCUAUGUCAGGCCUUGUAGUAUUAGCAAGAUACAUUAGUGCACCAAUUGUGCUGAGAUAGGGUACUUCGGGACCAAGGAGUUCCUCAUCCUCUUCUAGAGGUCGGAACAAAUUCUUAUCCACUUCAAGUGAUCGAACAAUUAUUGGUGUACUCAAUGAGUGCACUUUGUCCACGUAAAAGCUUUUUAAGUUCUUUUUUGUAUUGGUAAAUUGAUGGAUAAAGAUCACAUCUGCUAAUUGUUCAAUUUUUAGACCAAGACAAAGCUUUGUCUUCCCAAGAUCUUUCAUCGCUAAUUCUUUCUUCAAUUGCCUUUUGAAGCUCUUCUGAAGUUCCAACAGGAUUUAAAAAUAUUGUCACGACCCCAGUUCACCGAUUGUGAACAUGUCAUGACGGCACCUAGUCUUCACUACUAGGUAAGCCUAACACAUUGCGGAAGUAACAACAUUUAUGAAAUUUAAAAUCCAAAAGCAAAAUAACAUGAAUAAUGUAUAUAGUUGUCGUAUGGCACAUACACUUUGACACUUUACAAUCUGGAACUAUCCCAAAGACCCAGAAACCCACGGGCAGUACAGGCUAAGAGUAAAACAUAACAUCGUUCUAAUCGUCCAGAAAAUUCUAUAACAAAGAAGACAGAAUAGCAUCUUACUAGCUAAAAGGGGUAGAGUGAGAGGGAGGCUCUCCGGUCUGCGGAUUGCGGACACGGCAGAUAUAUCUCAAGUCUCUGAAAUGCUCCAUCCAGCUACUGAUAAUGCCCAUGCGUAGAGGUACCUAGAUCCGCACAUGAAAACUAUGCGUGGAAAAGGCGUGAGUACACCAAUGUUGGUACUCAGCAAGUGCCAAGCUAGUGACGAGGAAAGGUCGAGGCCCUACUAAGAUAAAAAUAUAACAAUCAAUAGAAUAAGGAAAACCAUAGGAAAUAAUCUACUACUAGAAUCUAGCAAAAAUAAUAAAUAAGACAGUAACCGAGAACUAAUACAGUAAUUACAUACAAGUGCAAAUCACCACCGGAUAUAUGUCAUCGAGGAUCUCCUGGUAUCCCGAGGAUCUCCUGGUAUCCUCAUUAUAUACAUAAGGGAUCUCUUAGUAUCCCGGGGAUCUCUUGGUAUCCUCUACUUUAUAAUCAUAUCUGUUCCAGGGAUCUCUUGGUAUCCCGAGGAUCUCUUGUUUUCCUCCAUUUUUGUAAUCAUAUCAGUGCUAGGAAUCUCUUGGUAUCCUCCAUUUUGUAAUCAUAUCUAUGCCAGGGAUCUCUUGGUAUCAUCCAUUUUGUAAUCAUAUCUAUACCGGGGAUCUAUUGGUAUCCCCCACUCUCAGUCAUAGAACGAAACACAUACAAAGGGAAUUAGCAGGAUGCCGUCCCGCAAUACCAAUUCGUAGUACCACACAAUUCAAAUAAGAUAAGGUGCUAAAUAAGAGCAAUUAAUGAAAUUUCUAGUCUAGCAUGCUUCACGUAGGACAUGUAAUACAGUUUAAGUAACUAAGCAAGUAAGUCAUCUAAACAUGCUUAUCCUAAGCUACACAGGUUAAAUAAUAUUUAAAAUAGGCAAAUUUGCAAGAAAACACAGUUAAAUAUUCUAAGUAAAAUGGAUUUUUCAUCAACCAGCACAAGCACAUGCUCGUCACCUCGCGUACCAAGCAUUUAAAAUGACAAGUAAUAGAUCCUAAGGGGAGAGGUCCCCCACAUAAGGUUACUAUGAAACGAUGCCCUUGCCACGAGUAUCCAACUUCGAAUUGCCCGAAUCUAUUUAACCAAAUAUAUAAUGUAAAUAACAUCGCAAGUAACUAAUUCCACUAUUAAAAUUAAAGCUAAGGCGCAAAAAUAGGUAAAAUAACCAAAAAGCCCCUCAGGCCAACGUCUCGGAAUUGAAUAAUUUUCACAUUUUCGGAAACCCCAUACUCUCACAAGUCUAACCAUAUAAAAAUCUCUCAAAUCGGAGGUCAAAUGCCCCCCUCAAAUCCUCACAAUUAUGUCUAAGAACUUUACACCAAUUUUCAUUCAAAAUUCAAACUUAAAGGUUGAAUUUGAGGUUUGAUUAGUGGGUAUUAAUCAUAGAGGAGUAAGGAAUCGAUACCCAAUCGUUGUCUCAUAAAAACCUUCAAAAAGUCCCUCCAAUCCGAGCUCUCUAGCUUGAGUUUUGUUAAAAAUGAUAGAAAACCUCGUUUUUGAAAUAUUAAUGUCGUUCAGGGGUUAAAGCAUCGCGAACGCGAAGGGACUCUCGCGUUCGCGAAGAGAAAAAUGUAAGUGACUAAGUUUGCACUUCGCGAUCGCGAAGGAAGGACUGCGAACGCGAAGGCCUGGGGCUGGUAGGCACACAAACGCGACAAGGCUUACGCGAACGCGUAGAAGGAGCAUGAGGGGUCCAGGAAUUGACCUUACGCAAAUGCGUAGUAUGGGACGCGAACGCGUAAGAGGGGAGAGAUGGGUUUCGCAAAUGCGGGGUAGGGGACGCGAAUGCGAUGAAGGAUAAAGCCAAGUCUACGCGAACACGAUGGUUGGUUCGCGAACGCGUAUAAGGAAAUCUGGUCUUCAAUUUUCUGCAGCAAAUUCCAAACUCUAAUUGUUCCGUUGAGCAUCCGAAACACACCGGAGGCCCUUGGGACCUCGACUAAACCUAUGUACAUAUCCCAUAACAUCAUCCAAACUUGUACCAAUCCUUAAACCACCUAAAAUAACGCCAGAAGCUCGAAUUAACCAAUGAUUUGAUUCUAAGAACUCCAAAACUCAAACAAACUCGCUUUUGAUAAAAAACCUAACCAAACCUAGUCUGAUUGACCUGAAAUUUUGCAUGCAUGUCCGAGAUGACAUGAUGGUGCUACAGCAACUUUCAGAAUCAUGUUCUGUUCCUCGGAUCAAAAAUUUACAAUCGAACUGGAAACGUCAAAAUUCUAACAUUACGGCAUUUCUGGUCUAAUUGAGCUACGGACAUCCAAAACACAUUCCGGACACGCUCCCAACCCCGAAAUUACCUAACGGAGCUAACGUAACCAACAAAUUGCAUUCCGAGGUCAUCUUCACACUACUCCAAUCACGAACCAAUUUCCAAUACGUAAGCUCUCAUUUAGGAGCUAAGUGCCCCCAAAACACUCCGAAUACUAACACCGAACGUCCCGGAAAACCAAAAUAGUAGUAAUAAACUUAGGGGAAAUAGUUAAUGGGGAAACGGGGCAUAAACUUCAAAGACAACCGGUCGGGUCAUCACAUCCUCCUCCACUUAAACAUUUGUUUGUCCUCGAACGAGCAUAGAGAACAUACCUGGAGUAGAAAAUAGAUGAGGCUAUCAGCUGUGCAUAUCCCGCUCGGUCUCCCAAGUCGCCUCCUUGGCCGGCUGGCCCCGCCACUGAACCUUUACUAAAGCUAUAUCCUUUGACCUGAGCUUUCGGACCUAAUAUCGCCACUAGCUCAUCAACAUAGGACAGGUCAUUGUCCAGCUGGACUGAAGUGAACUCCAACACGUGAGCCGGGUCACUGUGAUAUCUUCAAAACAUCGAGAUGUAAAAUACCGGAUGAACCCCGGCCAAGGUGGUAGGUAAGGCAAGCUCGUAAGCAACCUCCCCAACUCGCUUCAAAAUCUCAAAAGGGCCAAUGAAUCUCGGACUCAACUUCCCUUUCAUCCCAAACCUCAUGACGCCUUUCAUAGGCGAGACCCCAAGCAGAACCCGCUCAUCAACCAUAGAGGAAACAUCACGAACCUUUCGAUCCACGUCACUCUUCUGUCUAGACUGGGCCGCACAAAGUUUAUCCUGAAUCACCUUAACCUUCUCGACCGCAUCCUGGACCAAUUCAGUGCUCAAUAGCCUGGCCUCACCCAGCUCGAACUAACGCACCGGGGAUCUGCAUCUCCAACCAUAUAAGGCCUCACACGGCGCCAUCUGAAUGCUGGACUGACAAUUGUUGUUGUACGCAAACUCAGCCAAUGACAAGAACUGAUCCCAAAACCCUCUAAACUCAAUCACGCACACACGGAGCAUAUACUCAAUAAUCCGAAUGGUGUGCUCGGACUGUCCGUCCGUAUGAGAGUGAAAAGAUGUACUCAUAGUCACCUGGGUACCCAACUCCUGCUGGACGACUCUCCAGAACCAUGAUGUAAACACUGAACUCUUGUCUGAGAUGAUAGAAACUGGAAUGAAGUGCAGACAGAACAUCUCCCUAAUAUAAAUCCCCGCUAACCGCUCCUCUAAGUUAGUAGUACACACUGGAAUAAAAUAAGUGAACUUGGUCAGCCGAUCCACAACAACCCAAAUAGAAUCAAAUUUCUUCGCAUUCAGAGGAGACCAGCUACAAAGUCCAUAGUGCUUUCUCCCAUUUCCACUCCGGAAUUUCCAUCUGCUGGAGUAAUCCUCCUGGUCUCUGGUGCUCAUCCUUUACCUACUGAUAGUUGAGACAUCUAGCUACAAACUUUGCUACAUCCUUCUUCAUCCGCCUACACCAGUAAUGCUGCCUCAGAUCCUGAUACAUCUUCGCGGCUCCCGAAUGGAUGGAGUACCGCGAGCUAUGGGCCUCUGUCAAUAUCAACUCCCGAAUAUCAUCAACAUUGGGUACACAGAUCUGACCCUUCAUCCUCAAUACCCUAUCAUCUCCAAUAGUCACAUCCCUAGCAUCGACAUGCUGAAUUGUAUCCUUGAGGACAAGCAAAUUAUGGUCACCAUAAUGCCGCUCCCUGAUACGAUCAAACAAUGAAGACCGAGAAACCACAUAGACUAGAACCCGACUGGGCUCCGAAAGGUCCAAUAUCACAAACUGACUGGCUAAAGCCUAAACAUCCAUUGCCAUAGGUCUCUCCGAAGCUGGUAAAUAUGCCAAACUCCCCAAACUCUCCGCCCGGUGACUCAAGGCAUCGGCUACCACAUUGGCCUUUCCCGGGUGAUAAAGAAUAGCAAUACCACAAUCCUUCAGUAGCUCCAAAAACAAGGCACACCGUACAAAUAAUGAUGCCAGAUCUUCAAGUCAUGAAGAAUACCAGAUAACUCAAGGUUAUGGACAUGGUAGUUCUUUUCAUGUACCUUCAACUGUCUGGACACGUAGGCAAUUACCCUAUCAUCUUGCAUCAACACCGCCCCAAGUUCGACUCGUGAGGCAUCACAAUAAACUGCAUAGGACCCCGAACCAGUAGGUAAUAUUAGAAUAGGGGCUGAAGUCAAGGUUGUCUUGAGCUUCUGAAAGCUCGCCUCACACUCAUUUGUCCACUGAAAGGGAGCACCCUUCUGGGUCAAUCUAGUCAUAACGGUUGCAAGUCUGAUUGACCUAAAAAGUUUCACGCAUGUCCGAAUGACAUGAUGGUGCUACAGCAUCUUUCGGAAUCCCGUUCCGAUCCUCAGAUCAAAAAUUCACUAUCAGACUGGAAACUUCAAAAUUCUAACAUUACGGCAUUUCUAGCCUAAUUGAGCUACGGGGAUCCAAAACGCAUUCUGGACAUGCUCCCAACCCCGAAAUCACCUAACUGAGCUAACGGUUCCAUCGAAUUUUUAUUCCGAGUUCAUCUUCACACUGCUCUAAUUACGGACUACUUUCCAACACUUAAGCUCUCAUUUAUGGACUAAGUGUCCCAAAACACUCAAAAUUCUAACACCGAACGUCCCGUCAAACUAAACUAACAGUAAUAAACUUAGGGAGACAGUUAAUGGUGCAAUGGAGCAUAAAUUCCAAAGACGACUGGCCGGGCCGUCACAAAUAUAAACAACAAGUAUAAGAAAAAUUUGAAGCCAUUUUCUUUAUAAAAAUACAUGGACAAAUAGCAUCAUUUAUGUAACCCUCUUUCAGCAAAUUUUCACUGAGACGAUUAUACCACAUGCGCCCAGAUUGCCUUAAACCUUAAAAAGAUCUUUGUAAUAUGAUUGAGUACAUUUCCUGAGAUUUUGAAUAUGCUUCAGGCAUUUUAAAUCAUUCAGGGAUCUUUAUAGAGAUUUGACCAAAUGAGUCGUAUAGGUUAUGCUCGCAUUUAAAUAUCAUGACAUCAUUAGAUGUUUGGAAUAAUGGUCCGAUCCUCACAAUAUUUUACAUUAUUAUGCACUAUAUUGUAUCAAAUAUAUCAUCGAUGAUCAUUUUGUAUUGAUUCGCAAGCGACAUAACUUGUUGAGAUCUCAUCACAUUCUUUAUUUUCAGGUACCUGAACUUCUUCUGGAGUUUCAUGAAAUGUUAUGUCGUGGGCUCUUCUAGAGCUUAUUUCCUCCUUAUUAUGAUCAUUAGCUCCUUAUAAUUUUUCAAGGAUUGUUACCUUUCGAACAAAUUGGUCUGCCACGCUUCAUGCGUACAGUAAACUCAAUCCUUCAAGGACAUUAAAUUUUAAUAUGAGCAUUUGCAGCUAAAAUAUGAUAUUUAAUUUUAGAUUAGCAAAUGCUUCUAACAUUUUACUUGAAUUAUCUUCUAAGUGAGGAUCAUAUUAAUGAUAAUUCGAUUCAUAUAGCAUAUUUUUGAGUUGUUUAUUCCAUCCCCUAAAUGUUAGCAAAACUAACAUAUAACCACAAUCUUUUUUGGAAAACAUAUCUUUGUGUAUUGUGGUAGAGAAAUUAAUCAUAUACCAGACAUCCAAAGAAAGUAAAAAUAUUUAGUUUCUGAUCCUAAACCAAUUUUGAGGGGAGGACUUAUCAUAUACUGUUGGUCUGAUGCAUAUACGUGCUGCUAUAUGCAGUUAUGAAAAUGGAGCCCAACACAUGGAGCCCAACACAUGGAGCUUUAUUCUCAUAAAUAAUAGUUUAACUGUUAGUAGGAGGUAUUCAUUGCUAAACCAGCUUGGAUAUAAACCAGCAUUAUGAAGAUGAACUGUCUUGAUUUCAUAAUCUGAAAGUUAUGCUCUUAAUUGAGAAAAGCAAUCUCAAAUGCCAAACUCCAGGUUGACAAUAAACAUAUAAGUAACCAUCUUAUAUAUGAAUCUAUAAGUGGUUCACAUGGCAGGUGAAUGUGCUCAUAUUCACCUUUUAUAUAUUUCAAAAUCAGGGGCUUAAUCCUAACUUUAGCUGGUAGAAUCAAUUUAUUAUGAGAACAAGCAACAUAGAAGAAUUCUUGAAGAAUCUUCUAGGUCUUCAUUAUAUGCUUAUCUAAAUUCUCAAAUAGCUAAUUUAAAAAUGGCAAAUUAAAACUUCAAGUUUAUCAUGACAUGUGUUAUAUCUUAGUAAACUUCUAGUUUACAAUGUCACAAACUUUUGCAUUAGUAAACUUCUGAUUUACUGUGGCUACUUUUGUAUAAGUAGAUUUCUAAUUUAUUGUAGUUGAGUUUGCAUUAGUAAAUUUCUGGUUUACUGUGAUACAUGUCAUUUCAUUAAUAUAUACAUCGGUCGCCCACGAAUCGACAUUCUCAUCUUCCAGAUGAAUCUCGUCUUAUCAUGCCAAUCCUUUCAAACUUGUAGUACAAAUUUAAGGAUAAGGCCCGUUACUUCUCACAUACAUAUUUACCUCAUAUGAUUGUGGAAAUAUGAAGAAUUUUAAUCUUUUAAUCAUUUGUAGUCUCAGUAUGAUUACUUCAUGUUUAUUACAACAUAUGUUUUGACCAUAGUCAUAUAAUAUGAAUGACAUAUUUGUAUAUAAGCUCUUCGAGAGACUUCAUUUAUUAUCCACAAUCUAACAUUUAUCGUAUACUACUAGUGUCAUAUGUCUUCUAGACAAAUAGUUAACUCUUCAGAAGUUUUAGAGACUUCAUUUAUUAUCCACAAUCUAAUAUUUAUCGGACAAUAUUAGUGUCAUAUGUCUUCUCAGCAAACAGUUAGCUCUUCAGGAGCUUUUGAUAAAUUUUUUACUACCAAAUAUCGCUCAGACACUUCACCAAUUUUGUGACAAAUAUCUCCUUCAGGGAGAAAUGCCAUUAACAUAUGAAUAUUUUAUAUCAAAGUGGUAACCACAUUACAUCCUUCAGGAAAAGAUACACGAGUUAUUAUUUGCUUCGGGGAACUCGAUAAUUAACCAUAGCAUGUGGUUGUAGUAUAAAGCAUUCUACAAGAAUACUUUUGCCUUAAAAUGAUAGUUAAUAUAAAAAAAUUAAGAUAUUUUACAUACAACGGGUACGUGCAACAAUGAUCUUUAUGCCACAAAAAUGAGAUUUAUAUUCUUUGUUAUUCUUCAUCUUCAGGAUGUGAGUUGUGGUAUUGCUUCAUUCACUCGAGGGAGUGAAAAUGUGCUUCAAAAAUAACUUUGAAUAGCUUAUUAUUUUGUUUAAGCACAGAAAGACACAGUUUCAUAAUAUUUUUCUAUUUGAGGAGAAAAUUUUAAUUGUGUUACUUCUUCAGGAAAAAAUUUAAAAUACAAAAUAUUGAGGAUAUAUUCACUCAAUCAUAUUACCUCUUCUGGAGGUGAAUUGUAAUAUAUUCAAAUCAAAAGCACAUGUACAUUUACGAGCUUUAUUAAUAUUGUCACAUUCACUUUAGGAAUAGAUUAAUAUUUAUCAAAAGUUCUUAUCAUUCAGAGAACGGAACAUAAUUAUCUGAAUAUUCAUUAAUCACACCAAAUCGUGUGAUUCUUCAACCUCUUUUAAGAUAAUGCUACUUUAGGAGCAAAUCGAGGUAUGCAAGUAAUAUAGAGAAUUAUCUUCAAUUGUAACCAUAGAAAGCCUAGAUUAUCGCUUCCGGCGGUCAUAGGCAUAUACCACUUCUGGUGGUUACCAAAAUUUAGUUACAAUGAGAUAUAUGAAAUAUAAUCACUUCUGGCAGUUGUAUAUUUCUUGUAAACUAUGAUGGAGUUUAAAUUGAUCUAACAAUAUUAUACACUUUGUAAUCCUUUAUUAGAUAAUAAGAAUAGAAACAAAUACCAAAAUAGGUAUUGUAUAUGUAAAACAUAACCAAGCAGACGAUGCUAAAUAUAUUAAAAUAUAAGCAAAAGGCUCAAAUUAAACUAUGAAAAUUAGGUCACUCCAGAUGUAAGUGAUAUCUACAUCACUACUGCCAAGAAGAAAAACUCACCAUCUCAAGUAUAUAUUCAGCCUUAUGAUGCUCAGAGUGAAUAAGAUCUAUCCACGAAUGUAAGCGUGUCACCUUACAUCAGAGAUGUAUAUUGAAAUAGAAAUUAAAUUCAAAGUAAGUGCUCAAAAUGAUAGAGCCUCGUGCUGAUAACGUAUUAUAAAAUAAAGAAUUUAGUAAAGAAAUCAAAGACAAGUAGAUAGAGAGAUUUAUUAUUCAACUUCAAAAUCAUGUACAUAAUGAACUAAAAUCUUCUAUUUAUAGAAAAAAAGAAGCUGCUACUGCAAGCUGCUGCUAUAAGUUGUUGUGUAAGCUGCUACUAUAUCAUAUAUGGAUAAUCUUAUAUCAAGAGCAAUGUUUAUCCAUAACGAAUACUGAAUGGAUAAGCUCAUUGUACCCAGCAUAGAUAAUCUUCUACCAAGUGUAAUGAUUAUCCAUAACGGAGUACUAAAAGGAUAAGCUUAAAGUACCCGGUAUAGAUAAUCUUCUACCGGGGAUAAUAUUUAUCCAUAACGGAUUAUCGAAGGGAUAAACUUAUUAUACCCGGUAUGGAUAAUUUCUACCGGAGGUAAUGUUUAUCCAUAACCGGGUACCGAAGUUACUGAAGUGAUGGCUUCUUCAGGAAGCUUAUUUCCAAUAGAAUACUCAAUAGAUAAACAUAUUUACGACAGAGUCCCAUAUGGAUAAGCUUCUCCAGGAAACUUAUUUACUACGGAAUAUUAAAUGAACAUCCAUAAUAUAAUAUAUUUAUAACAAGUUAGAAUUUUUUUAAAUAUAAAAUAUUUUCUUUUCGCUAUAACAUACAAAAAGGAAAGGGGUUUUGACACACCUACCCACAAAAAUAAAACUAUUUACCCUUGUCUACCAAUUUGUUUUCACUACCUAUAAACUAAUUAUACUUCCUACCCAUAAUAGGUUUUGUAGGGCAUUUUUCCUUUAAUCUUCAAUUCUUUUUUAUUUCUAUGCUUUUUUUCUUUUCUCCUUUUUUCCUCAUUUUCUUCUUAUUCUUUUUCUUUUUUCCUAUUCUAAUUUCAUUUAAGUUCUUUUUUAUAUGCUUUUUCUCUUCAUAAUCUAAUUUCAUUUACUAUUUUCACUAUUUUUUAUUAUUCUUUUUUAUAUAUAUUAUUACUAAAUAAAAAUCAAAUCGUGUAUCAAUUAAAUGUAGAUAAUACAAUAAAAAAUAUAUUAACUAACAUUUGAUACCAGUAUAGUAUAUAGUUAUACCAACAGGGUAUACAAUUGUACGCAAAGAGUUAAAGAGUUUAAUUCAAUUAUCAAACUGAAAUAAUAUCAGUUGUCAAUAAAAAAUCUAAAAGGAUCUAAUUGUUAGAGUAUAAUGUUAUACAUUAUAUAGCAAACUAUAAUUUAUUUAUUUUUUAUUUUCAAUUUGCCGCUCACGCUAGGUAAAAGCUUAAAACAAAUUAAAAGGAAAAAAAGCAAGUGAAUUUACGGAUAAUAAGUAUACUAUUAUAAUAUAUUGUAUACUAUUACAGUAUAUUGUUACAAUAUCUUGCAUAUUAUUAUAAUAUACCAUAACAAUAUAUUUGUAUACUAUAAUGGUCUACUAUUAUAACACAAUUAUAUACUCUUAUAAUAUAUUAAUAUACUAUAACGAUAUACUGUUAGGUAACAGUCUUCAAUUAUUAUUAGAAAGUAACUACUUCCAUAUGCAGAAUAAAAAAUGAGAUUACGUGCUGAACUAGGUAAUUAAUAAGUGAGAAUACUUCACAAAAACAAAAGGACACAGAAGAAGGAAGGGAUAAUUUCGGUGCCAAACUUGAAAUGACCAAACAUAAACGGAUUUGCAAUGAGAAAAAAUAGGAGAAUUUAGUGGCUAGCUACUGUUUCUCUUGAAAUAGGGACUUUUGGUUGCUAAGUAUAAAUCGGAGGGUACGCACUCCGUAUACUGUCCAAAUGCGGGUAAAUAGUUAUAAAUGCAUGAAUAGGAGUAGUAAUUAGUUUGGGCAUAAGUAUUAAAAGGUAAAUAGUUUAGAAUUAAUGAGUAUAAAGUAGAAUUUUCCCAAAAAAAAAAAGUAAAACAUAACGGGUUUGUUUGGUUUGGAAAAAGUAUUUCCGAAAUAUAUUACUUCUUUUAUUUCACUUUAUGUGAUGAGGUUUAGAGUAUGAAGAUCAAACUAUCUACUAUUUUUAGUGCGAAUUCAUACAUAGAAUCUUCAAAUUUUUCUGUAAUAAAAAUAUUUAUAUAUUUUAAAUUAAAUAAAAAUAUUAUAAUUUAUAAUAAAUUAAUAAUUUAAAAUAUUUAAAAAGCAUAUGAGAAAAUAACAGUAAACAAAAACUCUUUUAACUCUAUAAAUAGUAAAAACAAAAGCGGAAAACCCGUUUUUCCCUUUUGAUAAAAAAAUAUAUUUCAAAGAAAAAUAUUCUUUUUGAUGUUUGAUUGUCUAAUUAUUUUCUUUCUUCUGCCAAACCACACCCAAAAUGAAAUAUUGCUAUCCAGUACGUCUCUUAUCAAUCCCUCCCUCAACCUCAACCAUGAAAAUAUAAAAAGAAAGCACCUCAUCUCUUCUCUCCCACAGUAAAUUAGAUCAAAAUGAGUUGUACAAAAUUUGAAGGAGUUGAGAUAUUUGAUUUUGUGAUCAAGAAAGCAAAUGGAAUAAAAGGCCUAGUUGACACAGGCCUUGAAAAUGUCCCAAAACAAUGCAUUCAGCCAGAAAAUCAAAGACUAGACAAGAACCAAAAUAAUCAAGAAUCAAUCCCAACCAUUGAUUUGUCCAAUUGGGAUGAUGUAAACGUUGCAAAAUCAAUUCAAGAAGCAGCUAGCAAAUGGGGUUUCUUCCAGAUAAUCAAUCAUGGGAUUCCAAUUGAAGUUCUUGAGAAUUUGAAGGAAGCUGGUUACAGGUUCUUUGACUUACCAGCUGAAGAAAAAAUAAAGUAUUACAAGGAAAAUGCUGGACCUGAUGAAUCUGUGCUCAUGUUUUGGAGUGCUAUAGGUGAGAAAGAUGAGAAGGUUUUGGAAUGGAGGGAUAGUAUAGAACAUGGUUGUAAUCCUGGGGAUGAUAGUAAUCUUUGGCCUCCUCAAACCAGGUAAUUCGCUCUUCUCAUAAUCUGGGUUGGUUUACCUGCUAGAAAUUCGGUAGAAAUUGAUUAAUUUUGAUCGGUAAAAAAAUCGAUCAAAGGUCUGGUUUUUAAAAAAAAUUUAAUUUAUUUAUUCUUUUUGAAACCGACCGACUUUGGUCAGUUUUUUUUUGACGUAAAAAUACGGGAAAUUAUUUUUGAAUCCCGCGAAAUUUAUUUUUCAAAAAACCAACCAACUUUGGUUGGUUUUUGCAAUUAAAAUUAAUAUUAAAAAAUGGCCAACUUUGGUCGGUAAAAUCGGCCGGCCAUUUUAAAAAACUUACCAACUUUGGCCAGUAAUUUUAUUUUUUAAUAAAACCGACCAACUUUGAUUGGUUAUUUUCAUGCUAAAAUACAAUUAAAGAGUAUAAAUAAAUAAAAAGACAAUCUUAAAACAAAAUGCACCAAUGAUUUAGUGGUAAAUAGUAUCCUUCCAUAUUACACACCCCGGUUCGAUUAUCAAACGGUGAAUCUUUUGAUUGCAUCAUUAAAAUAUCGACCAACUUUAGUUGUUUCUUUUUUUUUUUUGCAAUAUGUUUUUUAGAAAUUAAUAUACCGACCAACUUUGAUCGGUAAUUAGCGAUCAACUUUGGUCGGUAAUUAGCGACCAACAUUGGCCGGUAUACAAAAGCGACCACUAAAAUAGAGGUUGCUCUGAUGGUAAGCAACCUCUACUUCCAAAUAAGAGGUUGUGAGUUCGAGUCUCCCCAAGAACAAAGUGGGAAGUUCUUGGAGGGUAGGAUGUGGAGGUUUAUUUCGAAACAGCCUCUUUAUUCCAGGGUAGGGGUAAAGUCUGCGUACACACUACCCUUCCCAGAUACCAUUAAGUGGGAUUAUACUGUGUUGUUGUUGUUGUUGUUGUAAAAUAGCCACCAAGCAUGUUUGGUAUGCAUUUUACAUAAACAGACCAACAUUGGUCGUUUUUUGUGAUCGCUAAAACCCGAUUUCUAGUAGUGUUUAUUCCCUAAAAAAGUCUAAUUCAUUAAGCUCCCGCUUUGUGCGAAAUCCGAAAAAAAAUUGGUCCAUAAGAAUCUAUCAUAUGCAGUCUUACCCUGUAUGAUAAAAUAGCUACAAUUUUUUUCCAAUUAAGUCACUCGGUUUAUAUACCUAGUUUAUAAAGUCACUAUAGUAGUAUAGUCACAAAACUAUUUUAUUAUCACAUUAAAUUUGUUGAAAUUUAGUCUUUGUAUAUAAAAGUAAUGUUAUUAAAUUUUUCCACUACAAAAAUAUAAUUUACCAUUAAGAUAAUGUUAUUGUUAUAGUGAAGAUCUUUUUAUAUUUUCAAUUAUUUUAACGUGACUUGGUGACUUUUGGGUCUAUGUUCUAUCUUAUUUGUUACUCCAUAUACUUUCUUACUCUUUUUUUUUUUGUGGGUCCAAACUUUCUUACUCUUCAAUUUUAUUGAUUAUCAAUCCCUUUCUUUUUGUCCUUUAUAUAUUUCAAGUUUCCGUUUCUGAGGAAAAAAAAAAUUGCUCUUCAAUGAUAGGGAUAAGAUUGGGUAUAAGGGUGUAUAAAUCAAAUCGAAAAAUCGCACUAAAUUAAAAGGUCAAACUAUACCGAUUAAAAAAAUUUGACCAAACCGAUAUAUAAAUAUAUAAUUUUUGUAUAUAUUUUUAAGAUUUUAUAUAGAAUUUUAUUUAAAAAUAUCUAAAAAUAUUUGGGAUUCUAAUAUUUAAUAGAAUAUCUAGUGAUCCAUAUUUAUUAACCUUAAAUAAUGGGUCGUAUCAUCAGUUUAUCACUUUCUUAUCAAGUGUUACAAAUGUGUCAAUCUCUUUGUUAUUCCAUAUUCAUAUGUCAAUAUCUAUUAAAUUCUUAUAUUUUUUUCAAAUUUGAAGUGGUUAUUAUUAUUUAAGUAUCAUAUAGGUUUUUAUGUUUAAUUACUAAAUUUGGUUAUUGAAAGUGUAUAUCAACAAAACAUUAUUGUCAGAAGACUAAAAAUAACUAUCAUAUGUUACUCGGUAGAUUCUCCCAUAAGAAUAUUUAGUAGAUAAUAUAUUUGUUAACUUUUUAAAUUUUUACUAACCAUAUAUUUACUUAUUAAAAAUUUAACAAAGCAAGAUUGAAACAAUAUUUAUGUAACAAAAAUCCCUCCAAAAUCGAACCAAUCUAAACAGAUAUAGUCGAUUUGGCUAGAUUUUAAUAAAAAUUGAACUAACUCGAUCCAUGUAUACCCCUAGUUGGGUAUAUCUUAUCAUCUCCGGAACCCACUUGUAAAAAUAUAAUGGGUUAUUAUUCUUGUUGUAUAUUUUGAUGUGACGUGUACGUAUCAUCAGUCAUAGAUGAGUUCAAGUUAUAUAUAUUGAUGGAUUAAAAGUAUAUUUAUACAAUUAAAUUAUUUAGAGUAUUAAUUACAAAUAAAUUAGAAUAAUGACUAUUAAUUGAUAAAAUGCAAAAUACAUAAUCUACCCAUCAAAUUUUGGAUCAAAUCCUUGUUACACACCUAUUCUAUACGCGUUUUAUUUUACACACCAAGCCUUUCAAAAGUGUGUCUACUUUUGACCAGCCUUUGGAGCGUGUGAAACACGGCCAGUGGGGCGCGUGAAUAGUUACUUUCUGCCUUCAUUGACUAAUUACAAUGACUAUUUACUAAUAUUUGGGCCCAUUUUCUUUAACCCUAACGCCCAUUUUCUGCUCCAAUUCUUCAUCUCCCUCUUAUUUUAUUUUCUUCUUCUUUAAAGGAACCAAACAAUGUUUUGAAUCAAACAAUCUUCUUCCUCAUCUUCCACUUCUUCUUCACCUUCCAAAAAACAUAAAGCUUAAGCAACAAACAAAGUCUUUAUUUUUUUUUUUCUGCUUCUUGGUUGGUUGAGAUGAUGAAAUACCCAAAUAAAUCCCAACUAUUUCGACCCACCCAUCCAAAUCAAAAGGGUUGAACAACCUUAAAUGUGAAUACUAACCUGAAAAACUAAAGAAGAAACAGCAACAAGUAGAUGUUUUCUCGUCAUAUUAUCUUCAUAGUUUUAAGGAUGAAGAAUACGACUUGGAAAAUGGGUUUAUGUUUGUUAAUUUGGUAGUGUAGGUGUUUUAACCUUACCGGGUUAGAUUUUUCAUGGGUCGGAAUUAAGAAAAGAGUCGGAUAAUCUAUUUUAAUUUUAAAGAAUCAUUAUUUUUUAAAUUUAUAAAAGCGCGUGUAUACAAUGCAUUAAAUAUUAAAGGGCCUAAUCAAAAGUAGUGUGUAUUUGAUAUACUUUUGAAAAGUUUGAUGUAUAAAAUAAAAUUUGCGUAAAAUAAAUAUAUAAUAGGGAUUUGAUUCAAAAUUUAAUGGGUACAUUAUAUAUUUUGCCUUUGAUAAAAUGACAAAGUAAUUACCCACCCGCUGUCAUAAAUUUAAAUUCACUGUUGAUGUUAAGAACCUGAGUUGGGUAAACUUCGAAUUUCAAUUAUUCUUUUCUUUUGGCCGGAUGCAAACACUCUUCUGACAAUCAACAAACAUUCCUAAUGCUAGUGCUAGACAUUAGAAACUAAAAUGAUAAUCACAAAAGUUUGACUCAUAUUUGGUCCAAAAAGAAAAAAACACCUAUUCAUGCAGCUAGUGCAUACUCCUAUGUUUUAUUUUAGAAAAAUUAACCUAAAUGUCGCCCCAAUCACUUAAAGUAAAAAUAGCUAGUGAACGCAUAAUGUAUGUAUUAUUAGGGGUGUUCAAAAUCGAUCCGAAACCGAAAACCGAUCCAAACCGAAGCUUAACGGCUUANNNNNNNNNNNNNNNNNNNNNNNNNNNNNNNNNNNNNNNNNNNNNNNNNNNNNNNNNNNNNNNNNNNNNNNNNNNNNNNNNNNNNNNNNNNNNNNNNNNNNNNNNNNNNNNNNNNNNNNNNNNNNNNNNNNNNNNNNNNNNNNNNNNNNNNNNNNNNNNNNNNNNNNNNNNNNNNNNNNNNNNNNNNNNNNNNNNNNNNNNNNNNNNNNNNNNNNNNNNNNNNNNNNNNNNNNNNNNNNNNNNNNNNNNNNNNNNNNNNNNNNNNNNNNNNNNNNNNNNNNNNNNNNNNNNNNNNNNNNNNNNNNNNNNNNNNNNNNNNNNNNNNNNNNNNNNNNNNNNNNNNNNNNNNNNNNNNNNNNNNNNNNNNNNNNNNNNNNNNNNNNNNNNNNNNNNNNNNNNNNNNNNNNNNNNNNNNNNNNNNNNNNNNNNNNNNNNNNNNNNNNNNNNNNNNNNNNNNNNNNNNNNNNNNNNNNNNNNNNNNNNNNNNNNNNNNNNNNNNNNNNNNNNNNNNNNNNNNNNNNNNNNNNNNNNNNNNNNNNNNNNNNNNNNNNNNNNNNNNNNNNNNNNNNNNNNNNNNNNNNNNNNNNNNNNNNNNNNNNNNNNNNNNNNNNNNNNNNNNNNNNNNNNNNNNNNNNNNNNNNNNNNNNNNNNNNNNNNNNNNNNNNNNNNNNNNNNNNNNNNNNNNNNNNNNNNNNNNNNNNNNNNNNNNNNNNNNNNNNNNNNNNNNNNNNNNNNNNNNNNNNNNNNNNNNNNNNNNNNNNNNNNNNNNNNNNNNNNNNNNNNNNNNNNNNNNNNNNNNNNNNNNNNNNNNNNNNNNNNNNNNNNNNNNNNNNNNNNNNNNNNNNNNNNNNNNNNNNNNNNNNNNNNNNNNNNNNNNNNNNNNNNNNNNNNNNNNNNNNNNNNNNNNNNNNNNNNNNNNNNNNNNNNNNNNNNNNNNNNNNNNNNNNNNNNNNNNNNNNNNNNNNNNNNNNNNNNNNNNNNNNNNNNNNNNNNNNNNNNNNNNNNNNNNNNNNNNNNNNNNNNNNNNNNNNNNNNNNNNNNNNNNNNNNNNNNNNNNNNNNNNNNNNNNNNNNNNNNNNNNNNNCCUAUAAGAGCUAACCCGAUACCAAUCCGCCCGAUAUCUUAUCGGGUGGCUAACGGAUUAAUACAUUUAAAAGCCGAUAACCGUUAAGCCAAACCGCUGAGAGUAAAAGCCGCCCAAUCCGCCCAAUGAACACCCCUAUGUAUUAUACAUGUAUCUGGAUAUUUAUGUAAAGAUUCCUUUACUUUAUAUGAUCAUUACUUUUUUUUUAAGGUGAAAUACAUAAACAGCCCCUUAAAGUUGUCCUCAACGACCAACUGAACAUCUUGACCCAUUUAUCAAUUGGACACCUCAAAUGACUAUUACUCAGAUCAAAUAGACACCCGAGUGGAACAGACUACGUACGUGAAUUAUACUUGCCAAUAAAGCCAAUCAAUAAAUAACACGUGUAAUAAUUUUAAGACGUUUUCACUUUAGAUCUCUUAUUUUACCUUAGAGGCAUGUUCUUAUAGCCAAGAUAUCAUAAAUACGAUACAACAGCAACAACAAC